Molecule: ribosomal RNA, 253 nt
Filed under: uncultured bacterium
Lineage: Bacteria
Description: partial 16S ribosomal RNA
Rfam family: Bacterial small subunit ribosomal RNA
Source: RNAcentral
UACGGAGGGGGCGAGCGUUAUUCGGAAUUAUUGGGCGUAAAGGGCGCGUAGGCGGCUGGGCAAGUCAAAGGUGAAAUCCCUCGGCUCAACUGAGGAACUGCCUUUGAAACUGCCUGGCUUGAGGCCGGGAGGGGGUAGCGGAAUUCCCAGUGUAGCGGUGAAAUGCGUAGAUAUCUGGAGGAACACCGGUGGCGAAGGCGGCAUCCUGGACCGGUAUUGACGCUGAGGCGCGAAAGCCAGGGGAGCAAACGGG